This 484-nucleotide ribosomal RNA is filed under the name uncultured bacterium. RNAcentral's name for it is "partial 16S ribosomal RNA". It matches the Rfam family "Bacterial small subunit ribosomal RNA", at positions 30 to 507 of the family's 1533-position model. The record is from RNAcentral.
AUUGAACGCUGGCGGCAGGCCUAACACAUGCAAGUCGAGCGGAUGAAGGGAGCUUGCUCCUGGAUUCAGCGGCGGACGGGUGAGUAAUGCCUAGGAAUCUGCCUGGUAGUGGGGGGUAACGUCCGGAAACGGGCGCUAAUACCGCAUACGUCCUGAGGGAGAAAGCGGGGGAUCUUCGGACCUCACGCUAUCAGAUGAGCCUAGGUCGGAUUAGCUAGUUGGUGGGGUAAAGGCCUACCAAGGCGACGAUCCGUAACUGGUCUGAGAGGAUGAUCAGUCACACUGGAACUGAGACACGGUCCAGACUCCUACGGGAGGCAGCAGUGGGGAAUAUUGGACAAUGGGCGAAAGCCUGAUCCAGCCAUGCCGCGUGUGUGAAGAAGGUCUUCGGAUUGUAAAGCACUUUAAGUUGGGAGGAAGGGCAGUAAGUUAAUACCUUGCUGUUUUGACGUUACCAACAGAAUAAGCACCGGCUAACUUCGUG